RNAcentral lists this long non-coding RNA (2524 nucleotides) under Lactuca sativa (garden lettuce). Its description in RNAcentral is "long non-coding RNA (LSAT_LNC003418)". Lineage: Eukaryota; Viridiplantae; Streptophyta; Magnoliopsida; Asterales; Asteraceae. The record is from RNAcentral.
UUUUCUCUUUUUCUAAACUAACCUAAAUACAACUUCAUCUUCAAGAACCCCAAAUCAAUGCUUCCGCAUCGCAUCUUCUUCUUUAUUUGGAUCCUGCAAACUAACAUCGAUCAUAUCGCUCGAUUCUCCGUUUUGUUCUUUGGGAUUAAUCUGGUUGGUCUGUUUGUUACAAGACAAAUAUUUUAACAGCAGGAGCUACUUCUCUUUGAAGCAUUCGAUCGAGCACAUGGAGUGAAUAGCUCGUCUUCCCCCUCCAAAGACAUGUUUAUUAGAUUAUUUUAACCAAAUAGAUGUAAAUUUUUUCCUUCCACAACCAUUCAAUUCAAGGAGAAAGGGAGAUGGAAUAUGCAAUCAUGGAUUUAGGGAUGCCGAAUAAAAUAGAAGGAAUAUCUAGACGUCCCUGUUCUUAUUCAGUUCUUAUUCAGACUGGUGUUAUUUUGAUUGAAAUUGUUGAUUGAAGUUGCUGAAGUGGUGGGUUUGUUGGGCAAGUUUGAUUUGUGAAUCUCCAAGCACAUUCUAAUCUCAAAGAUGAUAUAGAUUGUCUUCCUUAGGAACGAUUGAUACGAUUUAGUGAAUGUGGGAUUUAAUCGUGUGUUUCAUGUAACUAUAGAAUUUAGUUUUGCAGUGUGGAUAUUCAUAGUGGGUCUUCGCCUGAACUACCUGUGAUUUAGGGUUGUUCGGAUACUCUACCCUUUUUACCGAAAGAGCUAUGGGGUUGUAUCGGACUGAAUCGAGUAUUGGUGUUUUCUUAGAAAAUACGAUUGUAAUGGUUAGGAUGCAGGUAUUUACUUUUUCCACCCUUAGAAUAAAACUUCUUUUGCAUAAAGGGUCUCUACAUACGUUAGGCGUACAUAUGCGUACACUUAGCGUACCAGGGAGGAUUGGACGCGAGCAGGCACCACGUACGCAGGGAGUAUGUGGCUUAAGACCAAAACCCUUACUUUAGGGAAAGGACCCUAUUUAAACACACUUAUGUCAUUUGGACCAAACCCUAAACAACCUCCAUUUCCUCUUUUCGUCCUUAAACCCUAUAUUUGCAAGAGAGUGUGAUUUUUGAGCCUAAAGGUGAUUUUGGUGGCCAUUUUAGUGGGUUUGCAAGAAGGAGAAGGUGGUGUUCAAGCCAUGAACAUGGGAAGACCUUGUGGAUCCUGCAUCUAGAGCAUCUUGAAGAGCUUUUGAAGGUAAAAAACUUACAUCCUGCUAAUCCUUUUUGUUAGUUGAUUAACGGGUUUUGUAGAAGUCCACUUUUGAGUCCCCAAAUUCUCUCUUGUGAGUUUGAGCAAUUCCAAAGGUUAGAUCUGAUGUUCUUUGGCUUGGUUAAAGCAUAAAAAUGCUAACUUGAUGACUACUAUGGCUCCAAGCAUAAGUUAAGAUCUUAGGAAGAGUCUUAAUGGAUAAAAUGGGAUGUUGGGUUCACAUAUGGCAAGCAAGGGUAUAAAGUUGCCAACUUUAUGCUUUAGGACCUUUAAAAUAACCAAGAUCUGGGAUUUUGACAAGAUGUCUUCUGCAUUAAGCACUUAACAGAUUUUGGUGCAAAGCAGCUUGUAUGCUGGGCGUACUAGGUUGUACGAUACACGUAUAACCCAUGAAAUUAGUACGCUAGGUAUAUUGAAGAGGUACGCUGGGCGUACGCUCCCAGUAGACUUUGGGCCUCCGGCGGAUUUUUGAGCCAUUUGGGCCCUAAUUAGUCUUAGGCAUGUAUCUUCUAGUGUAGUGGGCCUCUGAACUUAUUAUUGGGUCAUUGAUGGCAUGAAUGGGCCUUUUUGGGCCUUGUGGCCUACUAUUGAUUUGGGUCUUGGAUGUUAGGCCCAUUAUCGGAGGGAAGACUUUUGGGCCUUAUUAGAGGAGUUUGGACUUAGGAAUUGGGCAUAUGUCUUGGAUUCAUGAUUCAAUUCUAAUUAGGAUAAAUCGUGUUUAUUUAGUGUGAGAUUACUGGACCAACAGCUGAGCAAUAUUUUAUCAACAGUCUGAGGUGAGUUCUCUCACUAUAUCAAUGGGUCAAAGGCACCAAUGUCGGCCUAUCAUUUGACAAAGAAGAUGGAUAGUUUUUAUGUGUUUGUCUGUUUGUCUGAAGACCAUGGGGGUAGCCCAUGACACUUGGAUAUAAGACCACGGGGGUAGCCCGUGACAUUCCAGGUUAAGACCAUAGGGGGAGCUCAUGAUACUUGGAUAUCAAAUCACAGGGGUAGCCCGUAGUUUUCCAGGUUAAGACCAGGGGGAGUCCUUGACACUUAAGACUAUGGGGGUAGCUCAUGGCAACUAUAUUUGUUGCGUAGUAUUAUGUGGUUGUAUGUAGUGUGAUAUUUUUGGAAACUUACUAAGUUUUUUCUUACAGUUUAUUUGGGUGUUUCAGGUACUUGCGGUACAAAAGGGAAGAGCCCGACUUGAUGGUGCAACAUUCACUCUCCAACACUUUCUGCAUUUAUCUGUUUUGAUACUCAGAUAUUUGAUACAAUAUGAUGUAAUGAAUUUUUGGGAACAUAUUAUUAUUAAAUUUCUAUUAUUAAAAAUAAAAAAAUUUACC